AACGAACGCUGGCGGCAUGCCUAACACAUGCAAGUCGAACGAGAUCUUCGGGUCUAGUGGCGCACGGGUGCGUAACGCGUGGGAAUCCGCCCUUUGGUUCGGAAUAACUGUUGGAAACGACUGCUAAUACCGGAUGAUGACGAAAGUCCAAAGAUUUAUCGCCAGAGGAUGAGCCCGCGUAGGAUUAGCUAGUUGGUGUGGUAAAGGCGCACCAAGGCGACGAUCCUUAGCUGGUCUGAGAGGAUGAUCAGCCACACUGGGACUGAGACACGGCCCAGACUCCUACGGGAGGCAGCAGUGGGGAAUAUUGGACAAUGGGCGAAAGCCUGAUCCAGCAAUGCCGCGUGAGUGAUGAAGGCCUUAGGGUUGUAAAGCUCUUUUACCCGGGAUGAUAAUGACAGUACCGGGAGAAUAAGCUCCGGCUAACUCCGUGCCAGCCGCCGCAGUAA
RNAcentral lists this ribosomal RNA (449 nucleotides) under uncultured bacterium. RNAcentral's name for it is "partial 16S ribosomal RNA". It matches the Rfam family "Bacterial small subunit ribosomal RNA", at positions 29 to 523 of the family's 1533-position model. The record is from RNAcentral.